This 492-nucleotide ribosomal RNA is filed under the name uncultured bacterium. RNAcentral describes it as "partial 16S ribosomal RNA". It matches the Rfam family "Bacterial small subunit ribosomal RNA", at positions 29 to 507 of the family's 1533-position model. The record is from RNAcentral.
AGUGAACGCUGGCGGUAGGCCUAACACAUGCCAGUCGAACGGCAGCACAGUAAGAGUUUGCUCUUACGGGUGGCGAGUGGCGGACGGGUGAGGAAUACAUCGGAAUCUACUUUUUCGUGGGGGAUAACGUAGGGAAACUUACGCUAAUACCGCAUACGACCUACGGGUGAAAUCAGGGGAUCUUCGGACCUUGCGCGAUUGAAUGAGCCGAUGUCGGAUUAGCUAGUUGGCGGGGUAAAGGCCCACCAAGGCGACGAUCCGUAGCUGGUCUGAGAGGAUGAUCAGCCACACUGGAACUGAGACACGGUCCAGACUCCUACGGGAGGCAGCAGUGGGGAAUAUUGGACAAUGGGCGCAAGCCUGAUCCAGCCAUACCGCGUGAGUGAAGAAGGCCUUCGGGUUGUAAAGCCCUUUUGUUGGGAAAGAAAAGCAGCAGGUUAAUACCCGGCUGUUCUGACGGUACCCAAAGAAUAAGCACCGGCUAACUUCGUG